UAGGGAAUCUUCGGCAAUGGGGGCAACCCUGACCGAGCAACGCCGCGUGAGUGAAGAAGGUUUUCGGAUCGUAAAGCUCUGUUGUAAGAGAAGGACGUGUGUGAGAGUGGAAAGUUCACACAGUGACGGUAACUUACCAGAAAGGGACGGCUAACUACGUGCCAGCAGCCGCGGUAAUACGUAGGUCCCGAGCGUUGUCCGGAUUUAUUGGGCGUAAAGCGAGCGCAGGCGGUUUAAUAAGUCUGAAGUUAAAGGCAGUGGCUUAACCAUUGUUCGCUUUGGAAACUGUUAAACUUGAGUGCAGAAGGGGAGAGUGGAAUUCCAUGUGUAGCGGUGAAAUGCGUAGAUAUAUGGAGGAACACCGGUGGCGAAAGCGGCUCUCUGGUCUGUAACUGACGCUGAGGCUCGAAAGCGUGGGGAGCAAACAGG
This 429-nucleotide ribosomal RNA is filed under the name bacterium. Its description in RNAcentral is "partial 16S ribosomal RNA". It matches the Rfam family "Bacterial small subunit ribosomal RNA", at positions 355 to 776 of the family's 1533-position model. The record is from RNAcentral.